RNAcentral lists this ribosomal RNA (1389 nucleotides) under Leifsonia sp. 6003. Its description in RNAcentral is "16S ribosomal RNA". It matches the Rfam family "Bacterial small subunit ribosomal RNA". Lineage: Bacteria; Bacillati; Actinomycetota; Actinomycetes; Micrococcales; Microbacteriaceae. The record is from RNAcentral.
ACACAUGCAGUCGAACGGUGAAGAGAAGCUUGCUUCUUGGAUCAGUGGCGAACGGGUGAGUAACACGUGAGCAAUCUGCCCUUGACUCUGGGAUAAGCGUUGGAAACGACGUCUAAUACCGGAUACGACCCUCGGAGGCAUCUCCUGGGGGUGGAAAGAAUUUUGGUCAAGGAUGAGCUCGCGGCCUAUCAGCUAGUUGGUGAGGUAAUGGCUCACCAAGGCGACGACGGGUAGCCGGCCUGAGAGGGUGACCGGCCACACUGGGACUGAGACACGGCCCAGACUCCUACGGGAGGCAGCAGUGGGGAAUAUUGCACAAUGGGCGAAAGCCUGAUGCAGCAACGCCGCGUGAGGGACGAAGGCCUUCGGGUUGUAAACCUCUUUUAGUAGGGAAGAAGCGAAAGUGACGGUACCUGCAGAAAAAGCACCGGCUAACUACGUGCCAGCAGCCGCGGUAAUACGUAGGGUGCAAGCGUUGUCCGGAAUUAUUGGGCGUAAAGAGCUCGUAGGCGGUUUGUCGCGUCUGCUGUGAAAACCCGAGGCUCAACCUCGGGCCUGCAGUGGGUACGGGCAGACUAGAGUGCGGUAGGGGAGAUUGGAAUUCCUGGUGUAGCGGUGGAAUGCGCAGAUAUCAGGAGGAACACCAAUGGCGAAGGCAGAUCUCUGGGCCGUAACUGACGCUGAGGAGCGAAAGCAUGGGGAGCGAACAGGAUUAGAUACCCUGGUAGUCCAUGCCGUAAACGUUGGGAACUAGAUGUGGGGACCAUUCCACGGUCUCCGUGUCGCAGCUAACGCAUUAAGUUCCCCGCCUGGGGAGUACGGCCGCAAGGCUAAAACUCAAAGGAAUUGACGGGGGCCCGCACAAGCGGCGGAGCAUGCGGAUUAAUUCGAUGCAACGCGAAGAACCUUACCAAGGCUUGACAUAUAGAGGAAACGGCUGGAAACAGUCGCCCCGCAAGGUCUCUAUACAGGUGGUGCAUGGUUGUCGUCAGCUCGUGUCGUGAGAUGUUGGGUUAAGUCCCGCAACGAGCGCAACCCUCGUCCUAUGUUGCCAGCACGUAAUGGUGGGAACUCAUGGGAUACUGCCGGGGUCAACUCGGAGGAAGGUGGGGAUGACGUCAAAUCAUCAUGCCCCUUAUGUCUUGGGCUUCACGCAUGCUACAAUGGCCGGUACAAAGGGCUGCAAUACCGUAAGGUGGAGCGAAUCCCAAAAAGCCGGUCUCAGUUCGGAUUGAGGUCUGCAACUCGACCUCAUGAAGUCGGAGUCGCUAGUAAUCGCAGAUCAGCAACGCUGCGGUGAAUACGUUCCCGGGCCUUGUACACACCGCCCGUCAAGUCAUGAAAGUCGGUAACACCCGAAGCCAGUGGCCUAACCGCAAGGAAGGAGCU